This 497-nucleotide ribosomal RNA is filed under the name uncultured bacterium. RNAcentral describes it as "partial 16S ribosomal RNA". It matches the Rfam family "Bacterial small subunit ribosomal RNA", at positions 28 to 507 of the family's 1533-position model. The record is from RNAcentral.
GACGAACGCUGGCGGCGUGCCUAAUACAUGCAAGUUGAGCGAUGAAGAUUGGUGCUUGCACCAAUUUGAAGAGCAGCGAACGGGUGGGUAACGCGUGGGGAAUCUGCCUUUGAGCGGGGGACAACAUUUGGAAACGAAUGCUAAUACCGCAUAAUAACUUUAAACAUAAGUUUUAAGUUUGAAAGAUGCAAUUGCAUCACUCAAAGAUGAUCCCGCGUUGUAUUAGCUAGUUGGUGGGGUAAAGGCUCACCAAGGCGAUGAUACAUAGCCGACCUGAGAGGGUGAUCGGCCACAUUGGGACUGAGACACGGCCCAAACUCCUACGGGAGGCAGCAGUAGGGAAUCUUCGGCAAUGGACGAAAGUCUGACCGAGCAACGCCGCGUGAGUGAAGAAGGUUUUCGGAUCGUAAAACUCUGUUGGUAGAGAAGAACGUUGGUGAGAGUGGAAAGCUCAUCAAGUGACGGUAACUACCCAGAAAGGGACGGCUAACUACGUG